Molecule: RNA transcript, 1846 nt
Organism: Daucus carota subsp. sativus
Lineage: Eukaryota; Viridiplantae; Streptophyta; Magnoliopsida; Apiales; Apiaceae
Exons: 6
Source: RefSeq, a predicted model, not a curated record
CUAAAGGUUAUAUUUUCCUUUACAGCCUGUUUGGAUACUGGCAUUUCAUUUGAAAUGCUGGAUUUGGAUUGAAUACCCUGUUUGGAUAGCUACAGGAUUUGUAUUUGAAUUUGGGCCAAAUUCCAUCUAAGUAAAAUAAAAGCCCACAUCAAAGAAUUUGAAAUAACUUUUUUACUGGUGUCAUUUGAAAUAAGACAGCCCACAAUUACACCCGACUUCCGACUCUUUCCACUCGCUCUCUCGACUCUAUGCCUUUGCUCACUCGAUCUAUCCAUUCGCUCACCUUCCGGUCUUGCGUCUCCAUCUCCUCCGCCACUUUCUCUUCAUUCUAUCCCUCUUCUGUCAGCUCAUAUCAGAGAUGAGUUCAAGGGGUAAUUCAGCUCAGUCGGCUCAUGUAAAUGUUCAUGUGUCAAACAUUUCGCAAAAGCGUCCGAGGGAGAAUGAUGAUGAUACGGAAUUUAUAAUAUUAGUUUUAGGUUUUAUUCAAGUAGUAGUGGCAGCUUGUUAUGGUAAGAAUUAUAGGCCGAAAGAGUUAACGUGGAAUGCACAUGACCGUUCUCAAAUUAGAGCUACUUGGAUGAAUACACUAAAGAUCGAUAGGAUAUGUCGUGAACAAUUGCGCCUUGAUAUACGACGAUUUGAGAAGUUGUGUUAUAUUUUGGAAACUAAAGGUGGAUUAGUAACUACAAAACAUGUCACUGUGAAAGAAAUUGUGGCAUUGUUUCUUCAUACUCUUGCACAUGAUUUGAAAAAUAGAACUAUACAAGCUGUGUUUGCACGUUCUGGAGAGACAGUGAGUCGACAGUUUCAUAUAGUACUUGGAUCAGUACUCAAGCUGGGGAAGGAUUACAUAAGAAAAGUAGACCAUGCCACUAGUUAUGUCCAUGAUAACCAAUGGAAAUGGUUUGAGGGUGCUGUUGGAGCUCUUGAUGGGACACACAUCAAAAUGACUGUCCCUGUUGAGGAUCGGCCUCGCUAUCGAGAUAGAAAAGGGGAUAUUAGCACUAAUGUUCUAGCCACGUGUGAUCCGGAUUUGUGCUUCACAUAUGUUUUGCCUGGUUGGGAAGGAUCGGCAUCGGAUCCUCGUGUUCUUCGCGAUGCCCUCCGUAGAUCAAAUGGCUUGAAAGUUCCUAGAAAAAAAUAUUUUCUCGUGGAUUUGGGCUUUACUAAUAGUGAAGGAUUCAUGUCUCCUUACAAGGGAACUCGAUAUCAUUUGAAUUUGUGGAGAGGAAACACUCCCACUAAUCACAAAGAACUUUUCAACUUGAGACACUCGUCCGCUCGCAAUACCAUUGAGAGGGCUUUUGGAUUGUUGAAGAAGCGUUGGGCUAUAUUGAGAGAUGCUAGCUUUUAUCCAAAAAAAAUUCAAGUUAGAAUCAUUAAUGCAUGUUUUAUUCUUCAUAACUUUUUGAGGGAGGAAAAAAUGGAGGAAAGAGUUUUUAUGCAAGAAGUAGAAAGAGACUUGGAUAGGAUGGAAGCAAUUGAUGUGGAAGAUGAUGAAGAUGAUUACAUAUCUACUGCUAGAUCAACAAAUGAAUGGAACGAAUUUAGAGAUGAUCUUGCAAAGAAAAUGUUUGAAGAAUAUGUUGGACGGACUAGAGCUACAUAAAUGAAUGGAACGAAUUUAGAGAUGAUAAAUGUUUGAAGAAUAUGUUUACUAUUCAUGUUUUUUUCAUGAUCUGUAUAAAAUUGAUUUUAAAAUGCUAAAGGUACCGCAGACAAGAAAAACAACCUAUGGCUCCACGAACUGAUCAACCAACUGUACCAGUUCAGAAAAGGGGAUAUUUAGCAUGGACCCCGGACAUGGAUAACAUAUUAACUUCAACGUUGUAUGAUCAGAUUAACG